This 253-nucleotide ribosomal RNA is filed under the name uncultured bacterium. RNAcentral describes it as "partial 16S ribosomal RNA". It matches the Rfam family "Bacterial small subunit ribosomal RNA", at positions 524 to 776 of the family's 1533-position model. The record is from RNAcentral.
UACGGAGGGAGCUAGCGUUGUUCGGAAUUACUGGGCGUAAAGCGCACGUAGGCGGCUUUGUAAGUUAGAGGUGAAAGCCCGAAGCUCAACUCCGGAAUUGCCUUUAAGACUGCAUCGCUUGAAUCCGGGAGAGGUGAGUGGAAUUCCGAGUGUAGAGGUGAAAUUCGUAGAUAUUCGGAAGAACACCAGUGGCGAAGGCGGCUCACUGGACCGGUAUUGACGCUGAGGUGCGAAAGCGUGGGGAGCAAACAGG